Oncorhynchus tshawytscha (Chinook salmon) is the source of this 1170-nucleotide long non-coding RNA. RefSeq lists it as uncharacterized. The transcript has 4 exons. NCBI's taxonomy places the organism in Eukaryota, Metazoa, Chordata, Actinopteri, Salmoniformes, Salmonidae. The record is from RefSeq and is a predicted model, not a curated record.
GAGAGGAGCUAUCCAGGAAGAACCACUAAGAUGGUGACAAUCCCAUGACUUUUUGUUGUAGUUUAAAGAUAAUCCUAAUGUGUUCUUGUUUCAUCUGGCGAAGAUGUAUGUUUUUCCUUGGAAGAUUUUCAUUGGUUAUGUUGGAGUGUUUGUUGACCAAAUGCCCUCAAUAGAGAACUGUGUUCAAUCCAAGAGAACCUACUCCUGACUUGUUUAUUGUAUUUUCAGAUGUGUAGGAAGAGACUCAGCAUAGUUAAAUAGCAUUGCUUGUGUGAAUGUCGGCUAAUGCAGCUGUAUUGAGGCUCUGGGAAGAAUAAACUUGUUUAAGCUUUCAUAGUGUCCGUUGAGUUCAUACUCUGAAAAUUAGAACCUAACAAUACUAUAUCCUUAAUGCUUUAGUAUAAAUCAAUCUGAUAUUGUUAUAUUGAGCACAGCCAAUCAGCCUCAACUGGGUGGCAGUAACUGCUGCUCUCUGACCUGUAAGGGCCAUGGACAGACUGAACACUCCUCACUGGACAAGAGACUGCUCUCUGAAGAGAUCUUUCCUUUGACCUGGAAAAAAGAGAAUGAAGCAGACCAUUGUAAGGAUGUCUCUGAAAUCUAACUCAGGAGCUGACCUCAAUGACCCAGUGGUAAAGGAACAGAUGUUGGAGCAGAUAAGAAAAGAGUUUGCGAAGAACAUGAACUUCAUCCAAGGUUUUUUGGAAAACAGUUGAACUUGGAAGCCCUGAAGAAGGUCAGUGUGGGUCUGGAUGAAGAGGACCAGCCAUGAUGCUGCAACAGGAGAGGGAUGGAAGGUCAAAGAGAACCACAUGAUGUAUUAUCUACCUUAAAACACAUAAUGCAAUAUUAUUUUAGUUAAUGUUAUGAUAGUUUGAUUUGCCUUAUGAAAUAAACAUAUUAAGUAAAUGUAUAUUAGGAUAGAUUUUACAAUGUUUUACUAUUGGAACAUCAAAUUAUAAUGAUUUUUGUUAGUGUAUGAAGGUAAUGUUGUACAUAAGGGCAAUUUGAUAAGAGAAGAGGAAUAAAAAGGACAUUUGUGGUGUUUCAAGUUUGCAAUUAAAAACAUGUAUGGUGGCAGUGAGGGAUUGUCAGAGUGUAAAAGUCUUCAUAAUGAUGUUACACACUCACUCAUGGAUGUAACUGUUGACAUUCUGACAUAAAAUACAU